GGGCGGGUGGCGGAACGGCAGACGCGCACGGUUCAGGUCCGUGUGUCCGCGAGGACGUGAGGGUUCAAAUCCCUCCUCGCCCA
This 83-nucleotide transfer RNA is filed under the name Thermomonospora curvata. RNAcentral describes it as "tRNA-Leu". It matches the Rfam family "tRNA". From Rfam's summary of the family: Transfer RNA (tRNA) molecules are approximately 80 nucleotides in length. Their secondary structure includes four short double-helical elements and three loops (D, anti-codon, and T loops). Further hydrogen bonds mediate the characteristic L-shaped molecular structure. tRNAs have two regions of fundamental functional importance: the anti-codon, which is responsible for specific mRNA codon recognition, and the 3' end, to which the tRNAs corresponding amino acid is attached (by aminoacyl-tRNA synthetases). tRNAs cope with the degeneracy of the genetic code in two manners: having more than one tRNA (with a specific anti-codon) for a particular amino acid; and 'wobble' base-pairing, i.e. permitting non-standard base-pairing at the 3rd anti-codon position. Lineage: Bacteria; Bacillati; Actinomycetota; Actinomycetes; Streptosporangiales; Thermomonosporaceae. The record is from RNAcentral. RNAcentral also lists the same sequence under 10 other names.